This 301-nucleotide ribosomal RNA is filed under the name uncultured bacterium. RNAcentral's name for it is "partial 16S ribosomal RNA". It matches the Rfam family "Bacterial small subunit ribosomal RNA", at positions 509 to 807 of the family's 1533-position model. The record is from RNAcentral.
CAGCCGCCGCGGUAACACGAAGGGUGCAAGCGUUAAUCGGAAUUACUGGGCGUAAAGCGUGCGUAGGCGGUUUGUUAAGUCUGUUGUGAAAUCCCCGGGCUCAACCUGGGAAUGGCAAUGGAUACUGGCAAGCUAGAGUGUGUCAGAGGAUGGUGGAAUUCCCGGUGUAGCGGUGAAAUGCGUAGAGAUCGGGAGGAACAUCAGUGGCGAAGGCGGCCAUCUGGGACAACACUGACGCUGAGGCACGAAAGCGUGGGGAGCAAACAGGAUUAGAUACCCGGGUAGUCCCUGUCUCUUAUAC